UUCACAAUCAUACUCCCAAGAGUGAAACCGAAGAACAGGGCUUAUUUGAUCGUGUCCGAAAUAAAAAUGCUGAGAAUAAUGAGGCUCAAACCGAUGGCUUGCUUGCAAAACCCCACAUAACUGAUAUUAGUUCCGUCUUUUACAGUUGACUGUAGAUGAAGAAGAGAAAAA
Erigeron canadensis is the source of this 171-nucleotide long non-coding RNA. RefSeq lists it as uncharacterized. The record is from RefSeq and is a predicted model, not a curated record. The transcript is spliced from 2 exons. NCBI's taxonomy places the organism in Eukaryota, Viridiplantae, Streptophyta, Magnoliopsida, Asterales, Asteraceae.